Molecule: ribosomal RNA, 300 nt
Filed under: Triticum aestivum (bread wheat)
Lineage: Eukaryota; Viridiplantae; Streptophyta; Magnoliopsida; Poales; Poaceae
Description: partial small subunit ribosomal RNA
Source: RNAcentral
AUGGACAAGUAUAGGAAUCGUUUGCAAUACUCAAUCGUACUAGCGAUGCUUCUUCUCAUACUGUUUGCUACCCGUGCGCAAUGCAGAAUCUUGGAAGACGUCGAAAACGUUAAGAUCAAGUUAGAUGGUCUGUGCGCCCGCGAUCCAAACUGCAAAAACUCUUCGUUGUGUUUCUGUUGUUUUGCAAACCAUCUUUGUUAUCCUUCUUUGGAUGAUUGCAUGGUCGGCUGCCGAAAUGCUUCUCCGUUAGACCCGGCGGCAGCGAUGAUACGUUCUCCAUCACCCUCCUAUCUAAUCUAG